CCUACGGGAGACAGCAGUGGGGGAUAUUGCACAAUGGGGGAAACCCUGAUGCAGCGACGCCGCGUGUGGGAAGACGGUCCUCUGGAUUGUAAACCACUGUCCCCAGGGACGAAGAUGACGGUACCUGGGGAGGAAGCUCCGGCUAACUACGUGCCAGCAGCCGCGGUAAUACGUAGGGAGCGAGCGUGGUCCGGAAUUACUGGGUGUAAGGGGAGCGUAGGCGGGACUGCAAGUUGGGUGUCAAAUCUACCGGCUCAACCGGUAGCCGCACUCAAAACUGCAGUUCUUGAGUGAAGUAGAGGCAGGCGGAAUUCCUAGUGUAGCGGUGAAAUGCGUAGAUAUUAGGAGGAACACCAGUGGCGAAGGCGGCCUGCUGGGCUGUUACUGACGCUGAGGCUCGAAAGUGUGGGGAGCAAACAGGAUUAGAUACCCGGGUAGUC
RNAcentral lists this ribosomal RNA (440 nucleotides) under uncultured bacterium. Its description in RNAcentral is "partial 16S ribosomal RNA". It matches the Rfam family "Bacterial small subunit ribosomal RNA", at positions 338 to 795 of the family's 1533-position model. The record is from RNAcentral.